AAAGCAGGSGUAACUUGCCUCCGRAUACGUUAGCAUGGGAUAAUGGAAUASGACUUSGGUCUUGUUUCGKUGGUUUYGCUUGGCUGAAGUAAUGAUUGAUAGGGACAGUUGGGGGCAUUAGUAUUUAGUUGUCAGAGGUGAAAUUCUAGGAUUUACUAAAGACUGACCAAUGCGAAAGCAUUUGCCAAGGAUGUUUUCAUUAAUCAAGAACGAAAGUAGGGGGAUUGAAGRCGAUCMGAUWCCGUYGUAGUYUYUACCGUAAAMUAUGCCGACCAGGGAUCCGGAGAGUUUGCAUGGAUGACUCCCCGGGCACCUUGUGRGAAAUCMUAAGUGUUUGGGUUYUGGGGGGAGUAUGGUCGCAAGGCUGAAACUAAAGAAUGACGAAGGCACGACGGAGGC
RNAcentral lists this ribosomal RNA (399 nucleotides) under uncultured amoeba. Its description in RNAcentral is "partial 18S ribosomal RNA". It matches the Rfam family "Eukaryotic small subunit ribosomal RNA", at positions 788 to 1186 of the family's 1831-position model. The record is from RNAcentral.